CCUACGGGUGGCAGCAGUGAGGAAUAUUGGUCAAUGGACGAGAGUCUGAACCAGCCAAGUAGCGUGAAGGAUGACUGUCCUAUGGGUUGUAAACUUCUUUUAUAUGGGAAUAAAAUGUUCCACGUGUGGGUUUUUGUAUGUACCAUAUGAAUAAGUAUCGGCUAACUCCGUGCCAGCAGCCGCGGUAAUACGGAGGAUCCGAGCGUUAUCCGGAUUUAUUGGGUUUAAAGGGAGCGUAGGUGGAUUGUUAAGUCAGUUGUGAAAGUUUGCGGCUCAACCGUAAAAUUGCAGUUGAAACUGGCAGUCUUGAGUACAGUAGAGGUGGGCGGAAUGCGUGGUGUAGCGGUGAAAUGCUUAGAUAUCGCGAAGAACUCCGAUUGCGAAGGCAGCUCACUGGACUGCAACUGACACUGAGGCUCGAAAGUGUGGGUAUCAAACAGGAUUAGAUACCCUUGUAGUC
This 460-nucleotide ribosomal RNA is filed under the name uncultured bacterium. RNAcentral describes it as "partial 16S ribosomal RNA". It matches the Rfam family "Bacterial small subunit ribosomal RNA", at positions 338 to 795 of the family's 1533-position model. The record is from RNAcentral.